Long non-coding RNA from Ictalurus punctatus (channel catfish), 708 nucleotides. The record is from Ensembl. NCBI's taxonomy places the organism in Eukaryota, Metazoa, Chordata, Actinopteri, Siluriformes, Ictaluridae.
GUUCACUUCGCAAUUCACAGCUGCCAGGAAAUUGGAAAUGGCUUGGUCAUAAAGCUGCUUCACCGGAAUGGGAAUUGACUGCUGUUUACAUUGUUUGGAAUUUAUGCGUAAUAUGAAGAAAAGGGACUGCUUUAACCUUGUCAGGGUUGUGGUGGAUCCAUAGCCUAUCCUGGGAACACCUAUCCUGAGUAUGAGGCAGGAAUAAACCAAGGAUCAGACACGACACCAGUCCGUUGCAAGGCACUAUGCACACAUGCUCACACACUCAUUUACAUGUAGGACUAAUUUAGUAUAGCCAAUGUACCUAACCGCAUUGUUUUUUUUUUAGAGAAAACUGGAAAACCCAGAGGAAACCCAUGCAGGCAUGAAGAGAACACAUGAAACUAUAUACAGACAGGAAUCUGAGUUCAGGAUCAAAUCGGGGACAUUGAAGCUGUGAAGUGAGCAAGCACAAGAGCAAAAAGAGCAAGUGAUACUGAAAGGACUCACUGCAUUAUUCUUGUUAAAGUUCAGCUGUCAUGCUCCAUCAAAACAGCCAUUUUUGAUAAUUGACUACUUUAUCACAUGGAUUCAACAGAAAAUACUCAACACCUAAUGCUGUCACUCCUGAUCACCUUCUUCACCAGCUAAUUAAACAACAACAACAACAGCAGCAAAAGUAAACUCUGCAUGUGGGUUGUACUCUGUGUGUCCAUGCAUUGAAGCUUC